UGUAAGCGUAUACCAAAGUUGUUGCAGUUAAAACGCUCGUAGUCGGAAUUUGGCAGUUCCGGAUGUGUGCACGUCGUGUGCGCACUUCGCGGGGAUUGCUUUUGUGGUCUUGCGUAGGAUGAGGCACUUUUAUUAGUGAACGUCCUCACGCAACCACUUUUUACUGUGAGAAAAUCAGAGUGCUCAAAGCAGGCAUUUGCCGUGAAUGUAUUAGCAUGGAAUAAUAGAAUAGGACUUGGUUCUAUUUUGUUGGUUUGUUGGGACUGAGUAAUGAUUAAGAGGGACAGUUGGGGGCAUUUGUAUUUCGGUGCUAGAGGAGAAAUUCUUAGAUUACCGAAAGACAAACUGCUGCGAAAGCGUCUGCCAAGGAUGUUUUCAUUGA
RNAcentral lists this ribosomal RNA (382 nucleotides) under uncultured eukaryote. RNAcentral describes it as "partial 18S ribosomal RNA". It matches the Rfam family "Eukaryotic small subunit ribosomal RNA", at positions 592 to 976 of the family's 1831-position model. The record is from RNAcentral.